UCCUCUUCUCGGUCCCGGCCUUUCUUCCGGUCUGGGUCGUCUCCUCCUUGGACCCUCUGUUCUCAGCCUCGUCCGUUUCCGGCCCGGUUCUGUCGUUCAGAUUCACAGGUUUGGUAUCGUCGGUACAGUCCGCGUCUGAGUCUAGAUCCGGCUGGUUCCUGGCUGGAGGUCGCGGUCCAUUAGGUCUGUCUCGCUGCUUGAUCUGAGCAAGCUGUUCGGUUAUUGCUCUAUGGCUCGCCCUGAGUUCAUCAU
This 252-nucleotide long non-coding RNA is filed under the name Brassica rapa (field mustard). RNAcentral describes it as "long non-coding RNA (BRAP_LNC000460)". Lineage: Eukaryota; Viridiplantae; Streptophyta; Magnoliopsida; Brassicales; Brassicaceae. The record is from RNAcentral.